GCAUCCAGCUGCCACCAGAUUCCUUGCAGGGUGAGGGAACUGUGUUUCUCCAGUACAAAUGGGGGCCCUCCUAAUCAUUUGGAUCAGGUCUGUCCUUAGUGACAGCAAUGUCUGUGAGCACUUCUGGGUCUGGCAGCAACAUCUUCAAUAUCUGAUCCCAAAAGAUAACCCCAGCUGGUGUCAUGAUCCUAGCCAGCACACCCACUGAGCCAGCUCACUGCCCCAUUGGAUGCUCUGUGAAAGGAGCUGCUUUUCUGGCUUGUUACCUGCGGCAACUGACUUCAGAAGACUAUUCUUGCUAGUGCUGUCUAAGGGCAGCUGUCACUAAGAGGCUGUUCACCACGAGUUUGCUGCACACCCUGAAAACU
Long non-coding RNA from Mus musculus (house mouse), 368 nucleotides. RefSeq annotates it as predicted gene 11184. The transcript is spliced from 3 exons. The record is from RefSeq and is a predicted model, not a curated record. Lineage: Eukaryota; Metazoa; Chordata; Mammalia; Rodentia; Muridae.